Molecule: ribosomal RNA, 641 nt
Filed under: uncultured bacterium
Lineage: Bacteria
Description: bacterial SSU rRNA
Rfam family: Bacterial small subunit ribosomal RNA
Source: RNAcentral
GCAUGGUGCGGGGGUAAAAACUCCGGUGGUAUGAGAUGGACCCGCGUCUGAUCAGCUAGUUGGUAAGGUAACGGCCUACCAAGGCGACGAUCAGUAGCCGACCUGAGAGGGUGACCGGCCACAUUGGGACUGAGACACGGCCCAAACUCCUACGGGAGGCAGCAGUGGGGAAUAUUGCACAAUGGGGGAAACCCUGAUGCAGCGACGCCGCGUGAGCGAAGAAGUAUUUCGGUAUGUAAAGCUCUAUCAGCAGGGAAGAAAAUGACGGUACCUGACUAAGAAGCACCGGCUAAAUACGUGCCAGCAGCCGCGGUAAUACGUAUGGUGCAAGCGUUAUCCGGAUUUACUGGGUGUAAAGGGAGCGUAGACGGAUGGGCAAGUCUGAUGUGAAAACCCGGGGCUCAACCCCGGGACUGCAUUGGAAGCUGUUCAUCUAGAGUGCUGGAGAGGUAAGUGGAAUUCCUAGUGUAGCGGUGAAAUGCGUAGAUAUUAGGAGGAACACCAGUGGCGAAGGCGGCUUACUGGACAGUAACUGACGUUGAGGCUCGAAAGCGUGGGGAGCAAACAGGAUUAGAUACCCUGGUAGUCCACGCCGUAAACGAUGACUACUAGGUGUCGGGUGGCAAAGCCAUUCGGUGCCG